RNAcentral lists this ribosomal RNA (109 nucleotides) under uncultured archaeon. RNAcentral's name for it is "partial 16S ribosomal RNA". The record is from RNAcentral.
AAGCGUGACAGGUUAUCCCGAGUGAUUCCGGCUAAAGGGAUCUUUUGCCAGGCGUAAUACCACUAGUGAAUAAGGGGUGGGCAAGUUCUGGUGUCAGCAGCCGCGUUAA